CCUACGGGAGGCAGCAGUAGGGAAUUUUCGUCAAUGGGCGCAAGCCUGAACGAGCGAUGCCGCGUGAGUGAAGAAGGCCUUCGGGUCGUAAAGCUCUGUUGCGGGGGAAAUAAGGCAGCAUCAGGAAAUGGGUGCUGACUGAUGGUGCCCCGCCAGAAAGUCUCGGCUAACUACGUGCCAGCAGCCGCGGUAAUACGUAGGUGCCGAGUGUUAUCCGGAAUGAUUUGGCGUAAGGGGUGCGCAGGCGGUCCUGCAAGUCUGGAGUGAAACGCAUGGGCUCAACUCAUGCAUGGCUUUGGAAACUGGAGGACUGGAGAGCAGGAGAGGGCGGUGGAACUCCAUGUGUAGCGGUAAAAUGCGUAGAUAUAUGGAAGAACACCAGUGGCGAAGGCGGCCGCCUGGCCUGUUGCUGACGCUGAUGCUCGAAAGCGCGGGUAUCGAACAGGAUUAGAUACCCUAGUAGUC
This 465-nucleotide ribosomal RNA is filed under the name uncultured bacterium. Its description in RNAcentral is "partial 16S ribosomal RNA". It matches the Rfam family "Bacterial small subunit ribosomal RNA", at positions 338 to 795 of the family's 1533-position model. The record is from RNAcentral.